This 465-nucleotide ribosomal RNA is filed under the name uncultured bacterium. Its description in RNAcentral is "partial 16S ribosomal RNA". It matches the Rfam family "Bacterial small subunit ribosomal RNA", at positions 28 to 507 of the family's 1533-position model. The record is from RNAcentral.
GACGAACGCUGGCGGCGUGCUUAACACAUGCCAGUCGUACGGUAAGGCCCUUUCGGGGGUACACGAGUGGCGAACGGGUGAGUAACACGUGAGUAACCUGCCCACAACUUUGGGAUAACGCUAGGAAACUGGUGCUAAUACUGGAUAUGUGCCCCUGCUGCAUGGUGGGGGUUGGAAAGCUCCGGCGGUUGUGGAUGGACUCGCGGCCUAUCAGCUUGUUGGUGGGGUAGUGGCCUACCAAGGCGGCGACGGGUAGCCGGCCUGAGAGGGUGACCGGCCACAUUGGGACUGAGAUACGGCCCAGACUCCUACGGGAGGCAGCAGUGGGGAAUAUUGCACAAUGGGCGCAAGCCUGAUGCAGCAACGCCGCGUGCGGGAUGACGGCCUUCGGGUUGUAAACCGCUUUCAGCAGGGACGAAGCUUUUUGUGACGGUACCUGCAGAAGAAGCACCGGCUAACUACGUG